CUUUGAAGGACGUAUUUUAUUUUGACAAUAUGGCCGCUACUGAAGCAGCAAUACAUUAGGGGAUUUAACGGGAUAACUAAUCCAACUGAUAGUUAUCUGAUCCACUUUAAAGAACAUUUUAUCUUGACGAAGUGGUCACUACCAAGCCGUCACUAUAUAAACGUAAUAGUACAUAAUAAAUUACUUCACUUGAUUAAGAUCUCGGCUGCUCUUUAUUUUUGCGAUGUCGAGUUGUUUUUGUGGUGUCAGGUUGGAUGUUGCCUUUUAUUUGUUAGCCACCAUAUCGAGUUCCCUAGAGUUUGAUUUUGAAGAAUGAAAUUUCAACCGAUGGACUUGUCACCCGGUUGUCUUGUCUGGAUUAGUUGAUCUUCCAUCGGUUUGGUUACUGAAAAGGAAGUAUAGAGGACUGGAAACAUUAAGAUGAAGACAACGCUAGUAUUUUGGUCAGAUAUUUUUUACCCCGGCGUGGAACUAUUACGAUUCUUGUAUGUUGUAUUCUAUCAUCAUCGGAUCUAGCUGUGCCCAUGAUCUAAAAACGUUUAUAUAAUCAAACGAGGAUUUCAUAAAAAAUGUAAAGAAGGAAAACAAAACCGUUAGGAUCUUUACAGGCUGUAGCGCUUUUGAUGGAUUAUGUUCCAGUUGACCAGGAGGAGUUUUCCAUCUAUGGUUUCAAGCUGGUAGGCUCCUUUGUCGACUAUCCCACUGAUUCGACAGUACUUAUCAAUUAGGGCCGAGCUUCUCCAUAUUAUGCCCCCGGGUUUCGAGAAAACCCUUCGAGAGGACGUAGUCCCCCACUUUAAAGUAUCCGAGGUUAGUUUCUCAUUUUUAUAUUUUGAGUUGUAGAGCUCGGUUUUGGACGAUUUUGAAGGGAAUUUUCACGUCUUGGAUCGGGGUAAGUGUUCUUGACUCGAAUUUGUUAAUUAAUCAUGAUUUCAUCUUAGUUUUAUUAUUUAUUUAGUGAAUUAAAGUGAAGAAAAUGGGGAAUUUUUGUAAAACUUCCUAAAGUGAAAUUUGGGGAUUUGAAGAUUGAUUUGAAGUCGGAAUUGGAUAAUUUUGGUAUGAUUGGACUCGUUAUUGAAUGAGUGUUCAGAUUUUAUGAGUUUGGUUGGGUUUCGAGGUGCGGGCCCACGGUUGACUUUUUGAUUCUCUUUAAAGAUUGUAACUUUAUUAUCCGGAAUAGUUUCUUAUGGUUUGUAUUUAUGGUAUUAAGUUAUUUUGGCUAGAUUCGAGCCGUUUGGAGUUGGAUAUUCGCGAGAAUGGUUUACUAGCAGGAUCAGUUAGCUUGUUUGAUGUAAAUAUCUUGCAUAACUUUGUAUGAGAGAACUACCCUUUAUGAUUUUGGUUGAUUGUGCUUUUUGUGUAAUGUGAAAGCCGUGUACGCAAGGUGACGAGUGGGUAUACGGGCUAUAUGUGUUAUUUUGACUGAAGCCGGGCCAUAUGUGGUAUUUUGAGUUAUUGGUGUUGAAAUUAUAAAAGCCUUUAUCACAUUGAAGCGAAGUUAUUAAUUGUUGAGGUAUCUAUCUUGUUGAGCUAUUCACUUUUAUUUUGUUAUUGUUGAGAUUCUUGUACGCAUUGUGGUUGAGCCAUGUGCUAUUUGUUGUGAAAAAAAUUGGUAUUGUUGACUUUGUGGCAAGUUGUAGGAUAUGGGCACUUGUGGUCCAAGUUGUGAUUGUGUUGUGAUAUGGAUACAUAUGCGGUGGUAUAAGGCUAGGGGUUGAAAUGCUUGCGGCGAGAUAAGGUGGGCUUGAUACGCAUGUUGCUAGUAGGGGAACUACUUGAAGCCACGCGGUGUGAUAAUGUGUGCUGAAAGGCGGGUAGCUAUUUCGGGAAAAAUAAUUUUUAAAACUAAAUGCAAGGCUCCCGCGAUAAUAUAAGGAAAGAUUGUGAUUGAAAUUGAGAAAUGUGAAUAUGAAGCGGUACCUCGAUUGUGAUUCUUGUUGUGCAUUUCAUAUUGAAAAGAGUUAUUGGUUGACACAGUUCUUAUUUUUUUUAUUCUCCCUUGUCUUACCAGUUUUGUCCGUAUUUGAUUAUUUCUGGUUCCCUUAUUUGCUCCCUUCUCAUUGCCUUUAUGCUUACAAAUUUUGUCAUUUGUUUACAUUGUUAAGCUGCUUUGUUAAAUUUCAUUUCUCCAUUUUUCGUUACCUCGCUAGUUAUUAUAUUCUUCUCCAUUUAUCUUGUCUUAGUAGGUGUGUUGUCCUGGCCUUGUCACUAUUCUAUCGAGGUUAGGCUUGAUACUUACUGGGUACAAUUGUGGUGUACUUAUUCUACGCUUCUGUGCAGAUUCAGGUACAUCUUCUUGUACCAGAUGCUAGUGAUUGGUUUGCUAUCCUUGGAGACUUCAAGGUAUACAUGCCCGACGUCCGCAGUACUAGAAGUCACUCUCUACUAUAUCUUAUUACUGUUAUCCUUUAUUCAGACAGUGAUGUAUAUUGAUAUUUUAGUACUUCUUGUAGAGCUUAUGACUCAGUCUCACCGAAUUUUGGGAGUAUUGUAGUUGUGAUUCAGUUUUAAGAAAUUUAAGGCACUUAUUAGUUUAUAUUUUGUUUUUAGUCUUUAUUUCUGUUAUAUUCUCUUGUUUGUUAGGUUUACUUAGUCUGAAAGACUAGUUGCCAUCACGACAUCCUAAGGAGAAAAAUUGAGAUCGUGACAAUAAUAUUAUAAUCUCUAAGCAACUCAAGCCAUCUUUUCUACCUCAAAUUUAAAUCUGAAUUAUGCCUAAACCCCUCGGGUGCUAAACCAAACACAUGUACAAGUCUAAAAGUAACAUGCUAACCUACCGGAACCUUCAAAUCACAAAUCCGAGCUCGUCUACCCGAAUAUUGACUUUGAUCAACUCUCUUAUCUUAAGACCUCUAAUUAGGAACUAAGUAUUUCAAAUCAUUCAUGAAUCUCCCAAGACACAAAUCACCUAUACCCACAAGUCAUAAAAUAUAUGGACUUACAAAAUAUCUCAAAUAGGAAAAUAGAAUUCUAUAACUCAAAAUAACUAAUUGGGUUAUUACAGGUAAUAGUCUACUGCAACUUGUGCAAAUGUCCCAUCGGUCCUAAGAGGUACUACAGCCCGAAUCUACUGACCAAUUUCUCUAUAAAUGUAGCCCAAUAUUACUUGUUCAUAAACAACUAGAAAUACCAGUAGAGUGCCUCUCCAUCCAAAAAAAAUGAGGCCAAUGGAAGUGUUCGAUUCUCGCCGGUUCCAUAGAUAGAAAUCAGAAUACCUUUCUGCUUGAAAGACCCAUGUCUCUAGAUUUUCUCCUUUGAAUUGCCCAAAUUUGACUCGAGUUGGUUUGUUGUUGGCAUGAUGAUGAGCCACCGACAAUGGACCUCGAUGACCAAGAAGAAGCACAUGCCCAAAGCAUCAAGUGGACUGGGCCUUAUUUUAAAUCAUAUCUCAUGAUAAUUGGGCAUGGGAAUUUGGCAUGACAUGACAAUUAGGUCCAAUAACUGGCAUAAAAAAACCUAUGUUUUAGAAUUUGGAAUAUGGUAUCCUAAAGUUAUUCUCUCUUCUAAUGGUUCAACCACCAUCCUAAAAAUAAUCUCUCAUCAAAAUUAUUUUCAUUAAAAAUAGCAAAAAUUAUCAAAAAUCAGGUACAUCUGCUUCUGCCGGAUGCUAGUGAUUGGUUUGCUAUCCUUGGAGACUUCAAGGUAUACAUGCCCGACGUCCG
RNAcentral lists this long non-coding RNA (3662 nucleotides) under Nicotiana tabacum (common tobacco). Its description in RNAcentral is "long non-coding RNA (NTAB_LNC017387)". Lineage: Eukaryota; Viridiplantae; Streptophyta; Magnoliopsida; Solanales; Solanaceae. The record is from RNAcentral.